Capra hircus (goat) is the source of this 100-nucleotide small nuclear RNA. NCBI's taxonomy places the organism in Eukaryota, Metazoa, Chordata, Mammalia, Artiodactyla, Bovidae. The record is from Ensembl.
CAGCCCACUUUGGCAACACAUCUCACAUUGAAACAAUACAGAGAUCAACCUGGCCCUUGUGCAAGAUAACAUGUACAUUUGUGAAAUGUUCCAUAUUUUU